Molecule: RNA transcript, 4789 nt
Organism: Musa acuminata AAA Group (dessert banana)
Lineage: Eukaryota; Viridiplantae; Streptophyta; Magnoliopsida; Zingiberales; Musaceae
Gene name: probable serine/threonine-protein phosphatase 2A regulatory subunit B'' subunit TON2
Exons: 8
Source: RefSeq, a predicted model, not a curated record
CAAAUAUCAAAACUCGUUUCACACAUAGAAACCCGAUUAUAAAAUAUGUUGAAGUUGAGGUGCGCUGUAAAAAUUUUUCAGAAAAUCUACCUAAAACUAAAAUUAAGAUUAAAUUUAAGAUAAAAAUAAAAAUAAAAAAUAAAAAAAAUCAAAAAAAAUCAAAAAAUCAAAAUUAAAAAGAGCAGCUCUUGCCACUUUUUUGUUUUUUUUUGCCCUCUCUCUUUAGGGAGGAGGUCACCUUGAACCAGUCGAAAGAGCAACCGCUUCCGUCGGUCAAUGUCCUGUGGGUACAACGACUAGGGCACGCGCCCCUCCCCUUUGGCGACACUCGAUCGGUUGCGGCGAUGUACAACGUCUCCAGCGACGGAAAAGGCGGGGCGCGCCCAUGAAGAUCCCCGCCGCGUCCUCCAUGCCCUGGGUCCGGAAUCUCCGCCGGUACGUCGGAUCCGGCACCGGCACCGGCUCCGUUCCCUUCCCUCACUUCCGUCUGUCUUGCACUUGAGCUUGAAACAAAAAGGAUUUUGCUUGAGAUUUUCAAGGAACGACAACAGAGAAAUGCUCAAGCUGGCUCAGUCCCUAGCUACUACAAGAAGCAAUGUCAAUUGGAUAGUUUUUUGUGGUCUCCUAUGCAGUUCUAUCAAUAUAUUCAAGAAUGUGCAGACGAGCAUUCAGACAUGCUUGCUGAAAGAUGUUUCUUUUGCUUGAAAGUUGCUUUACGUGUGCUUUGUGUUCCUUACAUACAAAUAUAAUUUCUUUUCAUACAAUCUUUUCAGAUCUGUUUCCAUAAUAUAUUGCUUUGUGAAGCAGAAGCCUGAAGAAGGAUCAAUCAGUCAUAGGGUUCAAAGAUUGGCGAAGCACCGGUUUAUGAAGAAGCAGUCCGUACUUUUACUAAAUGCUGAUGAUCUAGAUGCAAUAUGGGUUUGCUUGAGGGAAAAUUGUGUUAUUGAUGAUUCUAUUGGAGAUGAAAAGAUGAACUAUGAAGAUUUCUGUCAGAUUGCCUCUAUUUGCAUGGAGCCAAUUGGUCCAAAAUGUUGAUGAUUUUUUAGCCCUUCAAACUUUAUGAAGUUUGAAAAGGACGAAUCUGGAAGAACAACCCUACCUUUCUAUCUUUAUGUGAUGCGAACAGUAUUAUCCAUUUUUUUACUGUUGAACUUUUUUUUUUUAAUACUGACUGAAUUUUGAAUUUUUUGAUGGAGUUAAAUGCCUGUCCUAUGCAUGUUUGAUAUGUGAUCAGAUUGGUAAAGUACCAAUAUAAUAGGCAGUAUGCCUGCAUAUAUUGCUUGAUAUCACUGGAAAAAAUAAUGAAAAUUGGAUAUUGGGGGUACCAAAUUAUUGUACCGGUUGCUGGUGCUUAGUUGGACCAAUAAACUCUGGGUGGUUAUCUUGGUCUGGUCAGUAUCAUAAACCAUGAUGGGAAUUUUCAACAUUUUUGUUGGUAGUAGUGAUUUUCCAACAUUGUUUUUGGUAGUUAUGAGUUACAGUCCAAAAUAUUUCUUCCAGUUUCAUUAAGAAGGUUGUAAUAUAAAUCCUAUAAAAUUUGGUCUAUGAUAUUUUCUCUUUACUACAAGCUUCAAUCUUUCUAUUGGUUCUGACAGAGGAAUGCUGUCUUGUGCUGAGUGUCCAUAUCGGUCAUGGGUUGGACUGAUACAUACCUGUUGGUAGCGGUGUACCAUAUGUCGGUACACCAGUGUUAUGGAAAAAAACAUAAAAAAAGGGCCCAAAAUUAAAAAAACCAUAGUUUAUGGUUUUUCCCCCUAAUUGCUUGGUACAUAAGUGAUAUUUAGAUUAUAAUAAAGUGUUUCUAACCAUAAAUAAAUAAAAAUUCUUCGUUAUAAUGAUGAAAAAUUGAGUCAGAGAGAAUGAGAGUGAGUGAGAAGGGGGAGGCAGGAGGGUUUAAAGGGUCAAAAUAGGGCCAUUUGUCAAUUUGACCAUAUGGACCUGGUUUGACCUGAGAGGAGAUCAGUACCAUGAUUCCUAACAGAACUUUGGGACUAACUAUAUCACCUAUUAUUCAUCUUUUACUACUGAUACAAAUAAUAAAAAAGGCAUAGUUAGAAAAUUUAAUAGCUUAGUAUUUGAUGCAUGACUUGGUAAUUGUUUCUUAAUAAAGCAUUUGCAAUAGUAGUUGUCAAAUCUAUAUCAUGAAAUUAUUGCUGAUAUCAUAUGAAACUGUUGUAUUUUUAUGUAGAAAGCUUAUUGACAUCAACCAAAAUGCUUUAUUUCUAAAUUAUCAUGGUUUUCAUGUUCAUUUAUCUUGCUGACUGUAGUAAAAGAAAUAUUUAAUGAAUAUUAAACCAUUUAAUAUUAAAUAUUCAACUUUUCAGAUCUGGUAUUCUUUCUUUCUUUAUCCAGGGAUUUCUGCAAAAAACUAGUGAUGAAAUUGAACAUUAUAUGUCUUGCCAAAUCAGCAUAGUGUGCACAUCAUUUUCAACCUUCAAAUGACUGACAUGCAUUUAUGCUUAUACAUUAUGAUUGAUUUCAUAAAAUAAAGGAAGGUAUCCAAAAUAGUUCUAAUUACAGAGGAACUAAGAUCAUGUCACCCCACCCUAUGAAUUUUUAGGCAAGAGCGAUUGAAGGUAGGAUUGGAUGUCAACAAAUAUUUUGGAAAACAAUAUGGUUUUAGACUUAUGGUUUUUAUUGAUUUAGAAAAAAAUUAAGAGAGCCUUAGAGAUUUAUUAUUGUUUCUUUUGGAAAAGAAAUAUAUGUCCACUAACUAUAUUGAUGUUAUAAGAUAUAUGUAUGAGAGUAUAUUCAUUAGUGUUAGAACUUUAGGAGUGUGUAUAAGAUUACAUUAAGGAUCAUCAUUAAGUUCUUAUCUUUUUAUAUUAGUAAUGGGCAAAUUUAUUAGUCAUAUAUAGGGUAUAUGAAGAUGUCAUUUUCGUUGAUGAUAGCUUAAAUGAAAUUAUAAAUUUUGAGUUAUUGAGACAAACUUUAUAAACUAAAAAUUUUAAAUUAUGACUAAGACAGAAUAUAUGAGACGUAAAUUUAGUAAUAUAAGAGAAGAAGACAUAAAUAAGUUGGAUCGAUAACAAGCUCCAAUAAGUAAAAUUUUUCAUAUUUUGUAUUGGUUAUUCAACAAGAUGGAGAAAUUGAUGAAAAUAUUAUUCAUAGAGGAAAAAUCAGGUAGUUCAAAUAGAAAGAGAGAUCAAAAGUUUUGUGUGAUCAUAACAGGUUAAAAUGAAAUCUAAAUGAAGUUAUUAGACCAUUGAUGCAUUAUGGAUAUGUGUUAGGCAGUUAAGAAACAAUAUAUAAGAAGUUGGUAUCUUUGAGACGAGAAUGUGAGUUAUUAUAGGAGAUAAAAAAGGAACAGUUUUGUCUGUAUCUAUUGAGUUAUAGAUGUCUGUUAGUGGUGUGAGGAAAAGAUAGAGGGAGAUCUAAUAAAAUGUUACUAGAAAAUUUAGAUAAAUAUUUAACAGUUCUUAAUUUAACUUUGUGCAGACUCAAUGACGGCAAAAGACCCUGUGGCCGACCCCAAAUGAUUGAGGUAUUACGGGUUGUUGGCUGUUAGUAGUUAGUACUAUGAUCUAAUUGAGCUUUGUUGGCAGUGGAUUUUGUUUGAUGAAAAUGAGAAAUUUCUAGAUGAAUAUGGUGUUCAUUUUCAUGUGAUGGUAAGGAUCACCAGCUCGUUUUUUUAACUUGACUACACUAGGCAUCUUAAGAUUGCAGCAUAAUCUGGAGAUUAUCUUUUCAUAAUAUUACAAGUCCUAUUUGUAUGAAUUUUUAACCCAUAAACAAAACACUUCUCAUGCCUUUUGUUGUAUGUUCUCUUUGAAGAAAUUUAUAUAAAAUUUUCAUAGAUGAUAAGUGGUCCUGAUGAAUGUCAUAACCAGCGUCUGUUGAUGGUUGUAUUUCCUUCAAGUGUUCUCUACUAAUGCAAGUUAUUUAAGCUGUAGUGCAACUGGUAAUGGAAUGAGUAAGGGGUAUCUAUGGCUACUUGCAAUGCAAUUUUUUUAUAAUUAGUAUUUUUUGGAGUUCCGCUGGAUAUUUAUUCUGGUUAAGGAUGCAGCACUUGAGAGAUAUAUUCUCUUAAGAUUUCACUGACUGUAUUACUACUGCACAGAUAUGUUUCUUGCACUAGAUAAAGACCAUAAUGGAACAAUAAGCAAGCAGGAUCUCAAAGAAUAUGCAGAUGGGACACUGACAGAAAUCUUUAUUGAGAGAGGUUAGGUUCUAGGCUUCUAGCAUCAAGGAAUUGUCCAAUCGCAAAUGAAAGGUCUGAUCCUUGUCAGGAAUCUUUUGCCAACAGUGGAGAUUGCAGCCCAUCCCUCCACAAUUGGGAAAAGAUAUACAAGAAAGAAAAGGAAAGGCUAGGAACAAAGGCAAAAAGAAAGAGAUGGUAGCUCUGCUCAGGUUUUUGAUGAGCAUGUACGUUGGAGUAAAAUUGGAGGGGGUAAUGCUCGUGAAAUGGACUUUGAAAGCUUUCUGGAUUUUGUUUUGGCCCUGGAAAACAAAGUCACUCCUGAAGGAUUAACAUACAUAUUCAAAUCUCUUGAUCUCCAAGGACGAGGCUAUCUUACAACAGCAGAAAUUUAUACCCUCUUCAGUUUAUUUAUGCAAGAUGUUGCAUACCUGUGCAAACUCAAGUAUUUGAACUGAUUCAGAACUGAAGGGACAGUCAAUUAGUGGCAACUGGAAUUGCACAGCUAAGGAGAUGUGCAUCAAAAGUGGAUUGAGGGCGGUCACUGUGAUCUGUGUAUCGAAGAUGUAAGAGAUGAAAUCUGGGAUAUGGUCAAACCAGUGGACCCUCUUAGGAUCACACUUGCUGAUCUUCUUGCCUGCAAGCAAGGUG